Molecule: ribosomal RNA, 498 nt
Filed under: uncultured bacterium
Lineage: Bacteria
Description: partial 16S ribosomal RNA
Rfam family: Bacterial small subunit ribosomal RNA
Source: RNAcentral
AUUGAACGCUGGCGGCAUGCUUUACACAUGCAAGUCGAACGGUAACAGGCCGCAAGGUGCUGACGAGUGGCGAACGGGUGAGUAAUGCAUCGGAACGUGCCCAGUCGUGGGGGAUAACGCAGCGAAAGCUGUGCUAAUACCGCAUACGAUCCAUGGAUGAAAGCGGGGGACCGGAAGGCCUCGCGCGAUUGGAGCGGCCGAUGUCAGAUUAGGUAGUUGGUGGGGUAAAGGCUCACCAAGCCAACGAUCUGUAGCUGGUCUGAGAGGACGACCAGCCACACUGGGACUGAGACACGGCCCAGACUCCUACGGGAGGCAGCAGUGGGGAAUUUUGGACAAUGGGCGCAAGCCUGAUCCAGCAAUGCCGCGUGCAGGAAGAAGGCCUUCGGGUUGUAAACUGCUUUUGUACGGAACGAAAAGGUUUGGGUUAAUACCCUGGGCCGAUGACGGUACCGUAAGAAUAAGCACCGGCUAACUACGUGCCAGCAGCCGCCGCAG